GGGGGUGUGGCUCAGGGGCAGAGCACUUGCCUGGCAAGCGUGAAGCCCCAGGAUCAAUCCCCAGGACCACCA
RNAcentral lists this transfer RNA (72 nucleotides) under Ictidomys tridecemlineatus (thirteen-lined ground squirrel). RNAcentral describes it as "Spermophilus tridecemlineatus (thirteen-lined ground squirrel) tRNA". It matches the Rfam family "tRNA". Rfam says of the family: Transfer RNA (tRNA) molecules are approximately 80 nucleotides in length. Their secondary structure includes four short double-helical elements and three loops (D, anti-codon, and T loops). Lineage: Eukaryota; Metazoa; Chordata; Mammalia; Rodentia; Sciuridae. The record is from Rfam by way of RNAcentral.